RNAcentral lists this long non-coding RNA (928 nucleotides) under Homo sapiens (human). RNAcentral describes it as "HSALNT0377094". The record is from RNAcentral. Lineage: Eukaryota; Metazoa; Chordata; Mammalia; Primates; Hominidae.
CCCCCCGCCCGGCCAGCCGCCCCGUCCAGGAGGUGAGGGGCACCUCUGCCCGGCCGCCCCUACUGGGAAGUGAGGAGCCCCUCUGCCCGGCCAGCUGCUCCGUCCGGGAGGGAGGUGGGGGGGUCAGCCCCCCGCCCGGCCAGCCACCCCGUCCGGGAGGGAGGUGGGGGGGUCAGCCCCCCGCCCGGCCAGCCACCCCGUCCGGGAGGGAGGUGGGGGGGUCAGCCCCCUGCCCGGCCAGCCGCCCCAUCCAGGAGGGAGGAGGGGGGAUCAGCCCCCCGCCCGGCCAGCCGCCCCAUCCGGGAGGGAGGUGGGGGGGUCAGCCCCCCACCCGGCCAGCCGCCCCGUCCGGGAGGUGAGGGGCGCCUCUGCCCGGCCGCCCCUACUGGGAAGUGAGGAGCCCCUCUGCCCGGCCAGCCGCCCCGUCCGGGAGGGAGGUGGGGGGUUCAGCCCCCCGCCCGGCCAGCCGCCCCGUCCGGGAGGUGAGGGGCGCCUCUGCCCGACCGCCCCUACUGGGAAGUGAGGAGCCCCUCUGCCUGACCAGCCGCCCCGUCCGGGAGGGAGGUGGGGGGGUCAGCCCCCCGCCCGGCCAGCCGCCCUGCCCGGGAGGUGAGGGGCGCCUCUGCCCGGUCGCCCCUACUGGGAAGUGAGGAGCCCCUCUGCCCGGCCACCACCCCGUCUGGGAGGUGUGCCCAGCAGCUCACUGAGAACGGGCCAUGAUGACAAUGGCGGUUUUGUGGAGUAGAAAGGGGGGAAAGGUGGGGAAAGGAUUGAGAAAUCGGAUGGUUGCCAUGUCUGUGCGGAGAGAGGUAGACAUGGGAGACUUUUCGUUUUGCUCUGUACUAAGAAAAAUUAUUAUCCUGUUGAUCGGUGACCUUGCCCCCAACCCUGUGCUCUCUGAAACAUGUGCUGUGUCCACUCAGGGUUA